GACAGAGGUGCCGAGCGUUAGGCGGAAUCACUGGGCUUAAAGCGUGUGUAGGCGGAUGCCUAAGUACCUUGUGAAAUCCCACGGCUUAACCGUAGAACUGCUUGGUAUACUGGGUGUCUUGAGCCACUUAGGGGCGACCGGAACAAACGGUGGAGCGGUGAAAUGCGUAGAUAUCGUUUGGAACGCCAAUGGUGAAAACAGGUCGCUGGGAGUGUGCUGACGCUGAGACACGAAAGCCAGGGGAGCAAACGGG
Molecule: ribosomal RNA, 253 nt
Filed under: uncultured bacterium
Lineage: Bacteria
Description: partial 16S ribosomal RNA
Rfam family: Bacterial small subunit ribosomal RNA
Source: RNAcentral